This 215-nucleotide ribosomal RNA is filed under the name uncultured bacterium. Its description in RNAcentral is "partial 16S ribosomal RNA". It matches the Rfam family "Bacterial small subunit ribosomal RNA", at positions 1285 to 1500 of the family's 1533-position model. The record is from RNAcentral.
GUCCCAGUUCGGACUGUAGUCUGCAACCCGACUACACGAAGCUGGAAUCGCUAGUAAUCGCGAAUCAGAAUGUCGCGGUGAAUACGUUCCCGGGUCUUGUACACACCGCCCGUCACACCAUGGGAGUCGGGAAUGCCCGAAGUCAGUGACCCAACCUUUGGAGGGAGCUGCCGAAGGCAGGUCUGAUAACUGGGGUGAAGUCGUAACAAGGUAUC